AAAACUCUGACAUCACCAUCACACCUACUUCAGGAAGAGUUCUACCUGGACAGAAGUGUCUGGUCCAGGUUACAUUCAGCCCAACACUGUCUGAUGACGUCAUCAACGCAGAAGCUCUUCACUGGAGAGAGGAAUUUCAUACUGACACCAGCAACUGCCAACAUACAGAACCUGAUGCCAAAAGCAAAAUAGAGGCUCCAUUGCUUUUGGUAAAAGAUCAUGGCAGCAAAGUGAUGCCUGCAAAUGGCAGCCCCUUCCAUUCCCCAAGCCCAGCAGAUAUUCAGG
Molecule: long non-coding RNA, 285 nt
Filed under: Sinocyclocheilus grahami
Lineage: Eukaryota; Metazoa; Chordata; Actinopteri; Cypriniformes; Cyprinidae
Description: lncRNA (ENSSGRG00000006536.1)
Source: RNAcentral